UUUCAAAUCUGCUUGUCCACCCUUGUGCUUACAUCUUGCCAUAUGCUAGAAAAAUAAGAAAACAACAUUAAAAUUAGUCGUCAAAUGGAUCAAUAUUAGCACAUCUGAAAGGGAAACAAUUCAAAGGAGGAAAGAAAACACAUGCGCUACUUUACAUUCACAUGAUCUUUUCUCAUUUUUUCAAAAAUGGAACUACUCUUAAGAUGGAACUAUACGUUUGUUC
This 223-nucleotide long non-coding RNA is filed under the name Solanum tuberosum (potato). RNAcentral describes it as "long non-coding RNA (STUB_LNC001282)". The record is from RNAcentral. Lineage: Eukaryota; Viridiplantae; Streptophyta; Magnoliopsida; Solanales; Solanaceae.